AUCCUCCAAGGCUAAAUACUCCUGACUGACCGAUAGUGAACCAGUACCGUGAGGGAAAGGCGAAAAGAACCCCGGCGAGGGGAGUGAAAAAGAACCUGAAACCGUGUACGUACAAGCAGUGGGAGCAUCCUUCGGGGUGUGACUGCGUACCUUUUGUAUAAUGGGUCAGCGACUUAUAUUCUGUAGCAAGGUUAACCGAAUAGGGGAGCCGAAGGGAAACCGAGUCUUAACUGGGCGUUAAGUUGCAGGGUAUAGACCCGAAACCCGGUGAUCUAGCCAUGGGCAGGUUGAAGGUUGGGUAACACUAACUGGAGGACCGAACCGACUAAUGUUGAAAAAUUAGCGGAUGACCUGUGGCUGGGGGUGAAAGGCCAAUCAAACCGGGAGAUAGCUGGUUCUCCCCGAAAGCUAUUUAGGUAGCGCCUCGUGAACUCAUCUUCGGGGGUAGAGCACUGUUUCGGCUAGGGGGUCAUCCCGACUUACCAACCCGAUGCAAACUGCGAAUACCGAAGAAUGUUAUCACGGGAGACACACGGCGGGUGCUAACGUCCGUCGUGAAGAGGGAAACAACCCAGACCGCCAGCUAAGGUCCCAAAGUCAUGGUUAAGUGGGAAACGAUGUGGGAAGGCCCAGACAGCCAGGAUGUUGGCUUAGAAGCAGCCAUCAUUUAAAGAAAGCGUAAUAGCUCACUGGUCGAGUCGGCCUGCGCGGAAGAUGUAACGGGGCUAAACCAUGCACCGAAGCUGCGGCAGCGA
RNAcentral lists this ribosomal RNA (755 nucleotides) under Pluralibacter gergoviae. RNAcentral's name for it is "bacterial LSU rRNA". It matches the Rfam family "Bacterial large subunit ribosomal RNA", at positions 455 to 1211 of the family's 2925-position model. The record is from RNAcentral. Lineage: Bacteria; Pseudomonadati; Pseudomonadota; Gammaproteobacteria; Enterobacterales; Enterobacteriaceae.